This 447-nucleotide ribosomal RNA is filed under the name uncultured bacterium. RNAcentral describes it as "partial 16S ribosomal RNA". It matches the Rfam family "Bacterial small subunit ribosomal RNA", at positions 328 to 792 of the family's 1533-position model. The record is from RNAcentral.
UGGCCAGACUCCUACGGGAGGCAGCAGUGGGGAAUAUUGCACAAUGGGGGAAACCCUGAUGCAGCGCCGCCGCGUGAGUGAAGAAGUAUUUCGGUAUGUAAAGCUCUAUCAGCAGGAAAGAAAAUGACGGUACCUGACUAAGAAGCCCCGGCUAACUACGUGCCAGCAGCCGCGGUAAUACGUAUGGUGCAAGCGUUAUCCGGAUUUACUGGGCGUAAAGGGAGCGCAGGCGGCGCGCCAAGUCUGAUGUGAAACCCCGGGGCUCAACCCCGGGCAUGCAUUGGAAACUGGCGGGCUGGAGUGCCGGAGAGGUAAGCGGAAUUCCUAGUGUAGCGGUGAAAUGCGUAGAUAUUAGGAGGAACACCAGUGGCGAAGGCGGCUUACUGGACGGCAACUGACGCUGAGGCUCGAAAGCGUGGGGAGCAAACAGGAUUAGAUACCCUUGUA